Molecule: transfer RNA, 70 nt
Filed under: Abia berezowskii
Lineage: Eukaryota; Metazoa; Arthropoda; Insecta; Hymenoptera; Cimbicidae
Description: tRNA-Glu
Rfam family: tRNA
About the family: Transfer RNA (tRNA) molecules are approximately 80 nucleotides in length. Their secondary structure includes four short double-helical elements and three loops (D, anti-codon, and T loops).
Source: RNAcentral
AUUUAUAUAGUUUAAUUUAUAAAACUUUACAUUUUCAUUGUAAAAAAAAGAAUUAAUUUCUUUAUAAAUG